AGAGUCUAGUGGAGGCCAGAGGAGACUAGAGGAGGCCAGUGGAGACUAGAGAAGACUAGAGGAGACUAGAGGAGACUAGAGAGUCUAGUGGAGGCCAGAGGAGGCCAGUGGAGACUAGAGAGUCUAGUGGAGACUAGUGAGCCUGCAGAGUACAGAAAACUAGAGAGCACUUUAAAACCAUUCACGGAACCAGACAAUCAGCACAUUCUCAUUCAAAUCCAUUCAUUAUUCAAUCAAUCAUUGGUUGGUUGGUUGAAUGACGCGUUGAUGUAUUGAUUGACACAUUAUUAAACUCAGUUCAAGUCACAGAUCUGGGGUCAGUUUUAGCAUCCCACAGUCCUUAACCAUUAACCCUGAGGAGAGGGAAACAGUCACAGAUCUGGGGUCAUUUUAGCAUCCCACAGUCCUUAACCAUUAACCCUGAGGAGAGGGAAACAGUCACAGAUCUGGGGUCAGUUUAGCAUCCCACAGUCCUUAACCUUUAACCCUGAGGAGAGGGAAACAGUCACAGAUCUGGGGUCAGUUUUAGCAUCCCACAGUCCUUAACCUUUAACCCUGAGGAGAGGGAAACAG
Molecule: long non-coding RNA, 573 nt
Organism: Oncorhynchus gorbuscha (pink salmon)
Lineage: Eukaryota; Metazoa; Chordata; Actinopteri; Salmoniformes; Salmonidae
Exons: 2
Source: RefSeq, a predicted model, not a curated record